This 383-nucleotide ribosomal RNA is filed under the name uncultured eukaryote. RNAcentral describes it as "partial 18S ribosomal RNA". It matches the Rfam family "Eukaryotic small subunit ribosomal RNA", at positions 592 to 976 of the family's 1831-position model. The record is from RNAcentral.
CAAUAGCGUAUAUUAAAGUUGUUGCAGUUAAAAAGCUCGUAGUUGGAUUUCUGGUGGGAGCGAUCGGUCUGGCGCUUAGCGCGAGUACUUGUAUCGUCUCCGGCCAUCCUUGGGGAGAGUCUGUCUGGCAUUAAGUUGUCGGGCAGAGGAUCCUCAUCGUUUACUGUGAAAAAAUUAGAGUGUUCAAAGCAGGCUUAUGCCGUUGAAUAUAUUAGCAUGGAAUAAUAAGAUAGGACUUUGGUACUAUUUUGUUGGUUUGCGCACCAAAGUAAUGAUUAAUAGGGACAGUUGGGGGUAUUCGUAUUCCGUUGUCAGAGGUGAAAUUCUUGGAUUUACGGAAGACGAACUACUGCGAAAGCAUUUACCAAGGAUGUUUUCAUUAA